AUGAAGGAGCUAGGUCUUCGAGAGGAGGACCUUGACGAUGUGGUGUUCGAUGAAGAUGAGGCGCCGCCGGCGGCGGCACGCUGGAUCGCGCUUGUCCGGGUGCACACACCCAAAUCAUACAACCAAUUUUGGUUUUUUAAGAAUAUGAGGGCGACGUGGGAUCUAGCUCAGGAGGUCCAGUUCAAACCGCUUGAAGACAAUCUGUACACAGCCCAGUUCUCAUGUUUGGGCGAUUGGGAG
This 240-nucleotide ribosomal RNA is filed under the name Triticum aestivum (bread wheat). RNAcentral describes it as "partial small subunit ribosomal RNA". Lineage: Eukaryota; Viridiplantae; Streptophyta; Magnoliopsida; Poales; Poaceae. The record is from RNAcentral.